This is an RNA transcript of Schistocerca gregaria, 5788 nucleotides long. It is a transcript of the gene named histone-arginine methyltransferase CARMER, with no coding region annotated. The transcript has 12 exons. NCBI's taxonomy places the organism in Eukaryota, Metazoa, Arthropoda, Insecta, Orthoptera, Acrididae. The record is from RefSeq and is a predicted model, not a curated record.
AGCACUUAAUGCUGCAAACAAAUUGAUCAAAUAGGAGUGACCUAUAGACAUGGAGGUAGAAUUACUAUUAUACCUCCAUGUCUAUAGGUCAGUAUCUGAGAUCGUAUCGUAAAUAUGCGGAUAAUUUACUGUGGUCAAGUUCAUCAUUGCAGCAUUGUAUUUGAAGUUCUUUGCACUGCUUCGAGCUUGUAGGCAUAAGCUUAGUGUCACGCUAUCUUAUCUAAUACGAAAAAUGGCGCAGAUAUUUCGCAGGGUGAAUGUCUUGUGCGCUACUACUACGUGUGAAUUUGUGCCAAAAUAUGAACAUUCGGUGGUUGUUACGCUAGACUAUGAUCCCCAGGGCCUCAGCGCAAAAAUUCGGAAAGAUGAGAGUACUUACGACAGCAUUGGUGAAUAUCCCAUUUCGAGGGCAACUGAAUGUGCUAGAGUGGGACCACAAGGUUAUGUAUUCACUUUUGAUACAGAGAGCCUCCUAUUCAGAUUUCAGAGUGUAGCAGAUGCUAGAGCAUUUCAUGAAGCUGUAAGCAAAGUAAAACUUGGAAAGGAUUCGUCAGUUUUUACAGAUCGCACUGAAGACUCUUCAGCCAUGCAGUAUUUCCAGUUUUAUGGAUAUUUAUCCCAACAACAAAAUAUGAUGCAAGAUUACAUUAGGACAAGCACGUACCAAAGAGCAAUUUUGGCAAAUUUAGAUGAUUUCAAAGAUAAAGUUGUCUUAGAUGUUGGUGCGGGGUCAGGAAUUUUGUCAUUUUUUGCUAUUCAAGCUGGAGCAAGAAAAGUUUAUGCAGUUGAGGCAAGCACAAUGGCACACCAUGCAGAGACCCUGGUGAAUGCAAACAAUUUGAAAGGAAAGAUAGUAGUAAUUGCAGGCAAGGUAGAAGAAAUAUCUCUUACAGAGAAAGUUGAUGUCAUUGUUUCAGAACCAAUGGGUUACAUGUUGUACAACGAAAGAAUGUUAGAAACAUACCUACAUGCUAAAAAGUGGCUUAAGGAUGGAGGUAAAAUGUUCCCAACCAGGGGCGAUCUGCAUAUAGCCCCCUUUACUGAUGAUAACCUUUACAUGGAGCAGUUUAACAAAGCAAAUUUCUGGUAUCAGCAGUGUUUCCAUGGAGUGGACUUAAGCAGUUUAAGGCAUGCUGCAAUGAAAGAGUAUUUCCGGCAACCCAUAGUGGACACAUUUGAUGUCCGUGUUUGUAUGGCAAAGUCUGUCAGGCAUACUGUGGAUUUUCAGCAGGCCAGUGAAACAGAUCUCCAUCGAAUCGAAAUUCCUCUGCAGUUUCACCUGUUGGAAUCUGGAACAGUUCAUGGAUUGGCGUUCUGGUUUGAUGUUGCAUUUAUUGGCAAAAAUUCAACAAUAUGGCUCUCAACAGCUCCAUCAGAGCCUCUCACACAUUGGUACCAGGUUAGAUGUCUCUUGGAGACACCAAUUUUUGUGAAAGCUGGACAGCUGCUUACUGGAAGAGUUUUGCUUUUAGCCAAUCAAAGGCAGAGUUAUGAUGUAACAAUUGAGCUGUGUGUGGAAGGCACAGGUACAAGGUCAUCUAAUACACUGGACUUAAAGAACCCUUAUUUCCGUUACACGGGACAAGCAGCACAACCUCCACCUGGUGUCAAUCAUACCUCUCCAAGUGAAACAUACUGGAGCCAGAUCGAUGCACAGGGAGCACGUCAGGCAGUGAAUAUGGUGAAUGGAAUAGCAGUGAAUGGUUUGGGAGAAGUUGCCACGAUAGAUGCAAGUCAGACAGCACCCAACCUAAUGGGACUGGGCAUUGAAGAAUGUUUGGUGAAGGAUGCUGGAACAAAGAAGGUUAAAUUGAAACACAUACUGCAUAAAUAAUGAAACAGCACAGCUGUGCUGCCCCAUCCCCACCCACAAACAUACACAUUUCCUUCUUAUACCAAUCAGAUCUUUCUUCUCCAUCCUAAUCUUUAUCUCCCCUUCCUUGAACUCUGUCUGGGCUCCUGCCCCAACACUUCUAUACACACACACACACACACACACACACACACACACACACACACACACACACACACACACACACACACUCACUCAAUUACUGUAUAUCCUAUUCUUGACCGUCUCUGAUAACAUUUACUGAUUCUUUUUUUAGCCACGUCACCCUUAUCUUACCUUUACUUGUGCUUAUUACAGUGUUAUGCAUUCCUGUUGUUAAUUGUUAACUCAUCAAUCAUACCUUUUCUGUUUUUUGUUAUGCUUCUUGUAUUUUACCUGCAGCUCCUUGCACAGCAGCUUAAGAAAGUCCUUAGAUGUAUAUUAUGUUUCACCAUCGGGACCAGUCCUUAUCAUGGACUCUGAUGUGAGUGCAAGCCCAGUGUUUUUUCAUCUCUUACGGAGUUACUAAACCCUUGUCCCAACCUAUUACUGUAGGUUGCGAUGGGUGGUUAUUUUUUCAUUUAACUUCCACUAUUGAAGUAGCUCUUUGCUUUUCGAAAAUUUUUCUGAAAUGAAUAUUGGUUUGGCAAAUAAGUCUCUUCAGUUUUUAAUGUGUAAUGAAAUGAUAACUUUCAUGUAAAAAUGUAAUUACAUAAUCUGGUCACAAUAUUGUGACUAUCAGUGAACUGUUACGUGCAGUGUGGAGUGCAGCACAAUAGGAGUUCCAAAAUUAGUCUGAAACCUUUCAGGAGUUAUGGAGGGUCCAUAGUAAAUUUAUUAAAUAUAUGCUCUGAUAGAUAGGCAAUUGAUAAUUUAGGCAAAUUUGGUUGCUAUGAAAUUCUUGGAAAAACUCUCCCAAGCAGUCUCACGUAUUUUAGACUUUCCAUUACCUUUCUAGAAGUCCCCAUACAUCUUUCGAAGGGAGAAAUGUGGUUGUGUAAAACAUAAUUGAAAUUUUAGUAGUUGCCAAAAUGACUGAAAAGCAUCUUACAAAUGGAUACAUUACUCAUAAGAAUCAGAUUGAAACAUUGUCCAGAGAACACUAAUUAUUCCACUCUCAAUCAGAACAACAAAUUUUAUUUCAUCCUACUAUUAAAAUUGAAAUAUUUUUAUCAAUGGAAACGAAAACUAUGGAUGAGAAUGGAGUUUGCGACACCUUCAUAUAAGAUACUGCCAGUUGCCUUGACAUAUCUGACUAGGACAAAGACCAGAGCUUCCGACAGUAACAUGCAUAGUAUUUGUGAAGAAGGUGAUUGAUAUAGUCUUUUGACAGUAGAGUGUUUAUUGUAAUUUGGUAUAGCAAGGAGACAGAAUAUUUUACACAAAUUGUAUAUGUUCUGCAGUACUUUUUUUCUUUCUUUUUGAAACUAGUUUUUGCUUAAGAUACAACUGGGGAAUAACUUGGUACAGUUGUUGAAGAUGUUAGCAAGCUGCUAGAAAACUUUGAGGGAAAUGUUUCAAAUGAAAUGAGUUUGAAAUGAAAAUCAUUUGGACAGUGUAACUGUUGUAGCAGUAAAGUGUACUAAGUGUAAAGAAAUGCAAAGGAGGGUUUCAAAAUGAGAUCCAAAUUGCAUUAUAGGUUCAAAUUUUGUCAAAACUGAAUUGGAAUUUGUUAUAUAGCAUUUAUUCUACUGUCAUAACUAACACAAAACUUAAAACAAUGAUACUAGUUAAAGUAAGCCAAAAGCUUAUUCUCAAAAUAGAUAAAUCUUGUAGACAUACACAGUUGGCUUGAGUCAUUAGUAAGUGUGUGUGUGUGUGUGUGUGGGGGGGGGGGGGGGGGGAGGAGAAUUGGAGAUUCAGGAGGUAUAAAUUUCAGUAAUGCUGACACACAUUAAAGCAGAAAACAGUUGUCCCUGGUUUUUGAAACUGUUACUUCCUUAAUUGGGGAGGAAAGAGGGAUGUUUUUCAUGGUGGGGAAGGAGGGCCAGCUAACUCCUCCUCAGCUUUCAGAAACCUCUUUCCCUGUCCUCCUAGUUCCAAAACUUGGGAACAGAGUUGUUCGUACUUUUAUGUGUAUUGGCAGUGCUGGAAUUUAAUCUUCUGAAGGUAAGUAGUGGCCAGUAUUCUGUCUCCUUGUAAUUUUCUAGUACAUUUGUGUUCAGAUGCAGUCCUCUCAUCCAGUUCAGAUCCUGGCAGCAUACGCUAGUUAAUAAAGAUACUGUUAUUAGCAUGAUUGCCUGCUUACAGUAAAUAAUCAACUUCUUGCUAGGUGCUGCUUUGUAAAAUUACUCAUAAGCAUAUUAUUCCAAAUCAAACAGCUAGCUGCAAUCAUCAGAUUGUUUCAAAAGACUUUAUACAAUGUGCAUUAAACUGGCAACAUCUAAGGAACUAUAUAGGUUUUACCUACCUUUCUUUAAAUAGAAUAUAUUGUGUGUUACAAGAGUUAAUCUUUAACCUUCAUAUCCCUCCCCUCUAUUGUUUUUUGGCAAGUUUUGUAAUAACACUCAAAUCCAUCUCAGACUGAAGAGCUGAAUGAACUUUCUGCUACUGUCAAGAUUUGCAGGAUAAAAAUUGGCUGACCAGUUUUGAAGUGUUCUGUUAAAACAUUUCUCAUACAUUGGGUGUUGUCAAAUAUCUUUGUAGCUCAUAUCUCUCUUCCCCGCCUCCCCCCACUCUUCAGUAAAGCAAAAUAUAGUUCUUAAUAUUUCCUUUCGUUUCCACAGAACUGGUAUCAGCCAAUUUUAGUAUUUUGUUUUUGAAAGUAGAGUAGAAUAAAAACCUGACUAUACCGGAAAUAACUUGCAGAAAAUAAUAAACUGAAUGGACUUCUUUGCCAACCUCUUGUAUUCUUUCUUAAAUUUAUUUAAAAAUUCUUCAAAUUGGACAUGAUGAAUGAGGGUGGAUAUGUUUUAGUUGCCUGUUUGUCAGAGCAGAUGUGUUUUUUACAUAAAAAGGAAAUGUAGCUACAUGGUUAGGAAGCAAAGAAGAAAAUUUCAUACUAAAAUUAAUAUAGAGGGUGAUAUGCUGUUUACUGCAUAGGUGUCAUGUGGAGUGCCAUUUUGUUCAAACUGUAGUAUGCUAAAUGGGAUACAUUAUUGUUUAAAAUGGUGGGUAGUCAGUACUUUGAUCUUUUGCAGAUCACCUCACCGACCGGGCCAAGUUUGUUCACAGUAUAUAUUAAAUUUACCUUUACAUUUAUUAUGCAGACAAAAUCAGUUGACAGAUUCUUACACCAGGUAGUAGCAUUUAUUAACAUUACACUUUCAAAUUAGACAGUGAUACCAGCAAAUUGCUUUGUACCGAUGCUCCCUACUCCACAGUGUGUGGUUGUAUGAAAAGCACAGUGUACUUUAAAUUGUCCCACAGUUGCUCCUUACCUGCCGUGCACUCCUUUAUUGGUUUGUGUUAGUGCGUUCUUUCUGCCUAUUAAUUUCAUGAAUUUACUUGUGUUCUGGUACAAAUAAUUAAUAAUUGUAUUCUGCAUGUAAACUCAAUAGUAGUCCUAUCCUUCUGAAAACUGUAACAUUUGAAACAAACGUUGACGGGAAGUAAUACACAGUCCACAUUUCAUAAUCAUUCAAUCAAAUUUCAUCCUUGUGCUUUUCCUGUUCCCUCCCCUGCUGCUCUUUGUUGUGUAUCACUUAAAAUCAAUCUCUCUCUCUCUCUCUCUCUCUCUCUCUCUCUCUCUUUCUUUCUUUCUUUUUUUCUUUCUCGGAUACCCCCUUCCUUCCCUUGGAACAGUGUGGGUUGGACUGCAGCAAGCAGUAUCAUUAAUUUACUUGCACCAUUAUGACCAAGGAUUCCGGAGAUCCAAAGAUAAGCGGCAUGUGCCAUCUGUUUUCUGCAUCAGCAGCUCCUCCCCAAAUGGCCAACCGAAUAUUCACCCAGGAUCCAUUUCAAGUACUGGACGUCAACGAGUAUGUGCAGGAACUGCUACAUCUACCCAGGCUGCAC